CUUCCUAAGAAAAUGAAACCAUUGAGGAGGAAACACUGGUCGGUUCGCACCAAAAGCAUGUUCGCACCAUGCUACUGCUUCAUAAGAGCCAAAGCAGUUCCUAGACUACAAGUGUAAGUGUGGUAAUUGAAGUCAAUUCUAAGGUGGGAAAACAACAAAGAAGAGCCAUACAGAUUGCAGCUCAAAAUUUCAAUAAUCAUUCAAAGACUCAGAACAUUACCCUUUUAUUCCAUGACUCUGUCUGCAGGAAACCCUUUACAAGCAGCUUCAACGGGUGAUUAUCAUAAACUUGAUUAUGAUCCUAUUGUCAUUAUCUCUUAAAUCCAAUCCAGUGAGAGAAUCAAAGAAACUAUCUCGAUAGAAAAGAAGCAACCAAUAAAUAGUAAAAGCAGAAUCAUAAAUUACGGGAUACUGAAAAGAAGCAAGCGAUAAAAG
Molecule: long non-coding RNA, 435 nt
Filed under: Lotus japonicus
Lineage: Eukaryota; Viridiplantae; Streptophyta; Magnoliopsida; Fabales; Fabaceae
Description: long non-coding RNA (LJAP_LNC000199)
Source: RNAcentral